UGUGUGUGUGUAUGUGUGCGUGUGUGUGUGUAUGUGUGUGUGUGUGUGUGUGUGUGUGUGUGUGUGUGUGUGUGUGUGUGUGUGUGUGUGUGUGUGUGUGUGUGUGUGUGUGUGUGUGUGUGUGUGUGUGUGUGUGUGUGUGUGUGUGUGUGUGUGUGUGUGUGUGUGUGUGUGUGUGUGUGUGUGUGUGUGUGUGUGUGUGUGUGUGUGUGUGUGUGUGUGUGUGUGUGUGUGUGUGUGUGUGUGUGUGUGUGUGUGUGUGUGUGUGUGUGUGUGUGUGUGUGAUGUGGCUUUUGUUCAAGUGUAUCGCGCAGAAAGAAAAGAAAAGAGAAGAAAAACUACGCAGGCAAAGAAGCUCUCCCUACAUCAAUCAAGGAAAAGGAGACGCAUUGGCUCAAAAGAGAGCCGUGUGCCCCCUCCACCACAGAGCGUAGAUUUGAUAGUAUCUAAAGUUCCUCUGUGGCUGAGUGAGGAUUUUUGACUGGAGCAGCAAGCCAGAAAAGGUUUGAAAAAGGGUUUUCUGUUUGAGGUAAGCAAUUGUCAAUUCUGUGAAGUGCUGCAUGAAAAGCAAGAGCAUCUGCACUUUUGUUUCCUAUGAUGUUAAAGUGAGAUUUGAAUUUCUUGAAUUGUAGAGUUGAUUUCGGAUUUGGUGUAAAGCAGGAGCAAUGUCUGUUGCAAUGGAGGAGCGUCUGUGUUGCACUGCUGCGAGUAUGGCAGAGGUGGACAACUCCCCCACUGAAAGGGAGUGUUUUUGAAAUGAUCAUUGCAUAGGUGGGCCCCAAUCUGGGACAUUCAAACUUAGUUUUAAGGUGUAGCUUUCUAUAGAACUAGAGCUUGGCCCUCCCACGUUGGGGCCCAUGCAUCAAAUCAGCCACAGCGUGAUCCCAAAUUGUUGCCACCAAACCUCCAUCCCAGAUCACCCUCUGCACCAAAUUGUGUGAUUUUUACUUACUUGAGGUCCUUGUAUCUAAAGAAUAUCAUUGCAAAAAAAAGGGGCAAAAAGACUGAGUGGUUGGUAAGAUACAGUGUUUCAGCCAUUUCCCUUCAGAGAAAUUGCAGCACAGGGUGUGCCUAUAAGAUCAAAAGUUGACCUCCUUCUUUCCUAAUUUUUAAUAUGCAGGAUGUUAACACAACAUAUA
Molecule: long non-coding RNA, 1139 nt
Filed under: Dunaliella salina
Lineage: Eukaryota; Viridiplantae; Chlorophyta; Chlorophyceae; Chlamydomonadales; Dunaliellaceae
Description: long non-coding RNA (DSAL_LNC000300)
Source: RNAcentral